Molecule: ribosomal RNA, 600 nt
Filed under: uncultured bacterium
Lineage: Bacteria
Description: bacterial SSU rRNA
Rfam family: Bacterial small subunit ribosomal RNA
Source: RNAcentral
GCGGACGGGUGAUAUGCUGGGAAUUGCCAGUCGAGGGGAUACAGUUGGAACGACUGCUAUACGAUACGCCUACGGGGGAAGCAGGGACUUCUGCUUGCGCGAUUGGAUAUGCCAGGUGGGAUUAGCUAGUUGGUGAGUAAUGGCUCACAAGGCGACGAUCCCUAACUGGUCUGAAGGAUGAUCAGCACACUGGAACUGAACACGGUCCAGACUCCUACGGGAGGCAGCAGUGGGGAAUAUUGCACAAUGGGGGAAACCCUAAUGCAGCCAUGCCGCGUGUAUGAAGAAGGCCUUCGGGUUUGUAAAGUACUUUCAGCGGGGAGGAAGGUGUUGUGGUUAAUAACCACAGCAAUUGACGUUACCCGCAAAAAGCACCGGCUAACUCCGUGCCAGCAGCCGCGGUAAUACGGAGGGUGCAAGCGUUAAUCGGAAUUACUGGGCGUAAAGCGCACGCAGCGGUCUGUCAAGUCGGAUGUGAAAUCCCCGGGCUCAACCUGGGAACUGCACUCGAAACUGGCAGGCUAGAGUCUUGUAAGGGGGGUAGAAUUCCAGGUGUAGCGGUGAAUGCGUAAGAUCUGGAGGAAUACCGGUGGCGAAGCG